Long non-coding RNA from Gavialis gangeticus (Gharial), 136 nucleotides. RefSeq lists it as uncharacterized. The record is from RefSeq and is a predicted model, not a curated record. The transcript has 3 exons. Lineage: Eukaryota; Metazoa; Chordata; Crocodylia; Gavialidae.
UCCCUAGGUAGCCUAUUCCAGUGCUUGACCACCCUCAAUUACUAGAAGAGUUCUUUCUGAUCUCCAGCCAAAAUUGCCUCUGCUGCAAUUUGAGGCCAUUGAUCUUAGUCCUGUCCCCUACAGCACAGAGAAAAGU